AAUCAACGCUGGCGGCGUGCCUCAGACAUGCAAGUCGAACGCUGCUGUUCGCCUUCGGGUGGACAGCGGAGUGGCGCACGGGUGAGUAACACGUAGGUAAUCUACCUUUGGGUGGGGAAUAACAGCCGGAAACGGCUGCUAAUACCGCAUAAUGCAGCGGCAUCACAUGAUGACAGUUGUUAAAGCGGGGGAUCGUAAGACCUCGCGCCUGAAGAGGAGCCUGCGGCAGAUUAGGUAGUUGGUGAGGUAAUGGCUCACCAAGCCUGCGAUCUGUAACGGCUGAGAGGGCGUCGGUCACACUGACACUGACAGUACGGUCAGA
RNAcentral lists this ribosomal RNA (322 nucleotides) under uncultured bacterium. RNAcentral describes it as "bacterial SSU rRNA". It matches the Rfam family "Bacterial small subunit ribosomal RNA", at positions 32 to 335 of the family's 1533-position model. The record is from RNAcentral.